This 253-nucleotide ribosomal RNA is filed under the name uncultured bacterium. RNAcentral describes it as "partial 16S ribosomal RNA". It matches the Rfam family "Bacterial small subunit ribosomal RNA", at positions 524 to 776 of the family's 1533-position model. The record is from RNAcentral.
UACGUAGGUGGCAAGCGUUGUCCGGAAUUAUUGGGCGUAAAGCGCGCGCAGGCGGUCCUUUAAGUCUGAUGUGAAAGCCCACGGCUCAACCGUGGAGGGUCAUUGGAAACUGGGGGACUUGAGUACAGAAGAGAAGAGUGGAAUUCCACGUGUAGCGGUGAAAUGCGUAGAGAUGUGGAGGAACACCAGUGGCGAAGGCGGGUCUCGGGGCCGUAACUGACGCUGAGGAGCGAAAGCGUGGGGAGCGAACAGG